CUCCGGAAAUGGGGUGACCUCGGCAGGUGGCCCAAUGAGCGACAGCAGGACGGGCAGAAGAACAAGGCCAUUGAGAACACCCAACAGUGUCAGGAUAGCCAGCACGGCAAAGAAGUACCUGCAGAACGAAGUGGAAAGAAAGUUGUGGCUCUUCAGGGAACCUGGGAUCACCAGAGUGCCUCCAUUUCCAGAAAAUAUGAGUUUACAUUAGAGAGCAGAUCCCACACAGGAAAGACUCCCCUGACGAGAGAGGAAAAUUAAUGCAGCACUCUGCCGCCUAAAGUCCCACCAUUCUGCUUGAGGCUCCAACCCAUGAGGGCAGUAUGCGCCAUACUGGCAUAAGUGAAAUCCGCAGCAUUUCUUAGUUAAAAAUAAGAGAAUCUUUGCUUUGAGGAUCUCUGGCGGCCGCCUGUGCUGCACUCAGGCCUGCACGUCCUACAUGUCUGCCUGGCUCAUAAAGCAAAGCUCAUAGUCACCAGCACAUACUUUUUAAUGGGACUGUGCAGCCUCUACAGCAGAGAGCAUCUCCUACGGCAGAGAGCAUCUCCUACGGCAGAGACCAUCUCCUACGGCAGAGACCAUCUCCUACAGCAGACCAUCUCCUACGGCAGAGAGCAUCUCCUACGGCAGAGAGCAUCUCGUACGGCAGAGACCAUCUCCUACAGCAGACCAUCUCCUACGGCAGAGAGCAUCUCCUACGGCAGAGAGCAUCUCCUACAGCAGGAUUCCAUUCUGCUCACUUAUGUACCAAAACCAUCAGAGUGCAAGACCAGGCCGGGCUUGCUCACAGCUCUUUUGUACUAAGAUUUAGAUCAAAUUAAGCUGUAAAGAAAUGGAAAAACAGAUUAAAACUGCUGGUUUUCCAACUUCUAUUUGCUUUUAUUUAGAUAGAGAGGACUUCUAUUCAGCUUACGUGAAAAAUGAAAAUAGUCUCUUGUUUAUUUUACUAAGCCAACAUUUGGAAAGUAGAGAGAGAUUUAUUUUGGGAGUAAAAAUGCUGCCUCUGUGUUGGGCCCGACAGGAUGGGACCUCCAAAGGGCCGGGUGUCAGCAAUUCUGUUGUUUAUACAAACUGUAAUCUUUUCCAUUUGGAAUCAGACUCUCCUUGCGGAGAUGGGCCACUGAGCUUGUUCAGCUGUUUAUCCAACGUGCCACAGCGAGGAGAUGUUUACAGCAGCUUCCAUCUAAACAGGACCUCCCAGCGUGAGGGCGCCAUGGAGGGCCACCUUCAAGGCCCCUCCCCCGCUGAGGCUCAGCCCUCUCCCUGCCUUCAUCCUGCUCCUCUUUCCCUAAGUCUUUGGCCGUAAAAUAAAUGUAUUGUUUCAGUGUUCAUUCUCUCUC
Long non-coding RNA from Paramormyrops kingsleyae, 1340 nucleotides. RefSeq lists it as uncharacterized. NCBI's taxonomy places the organism in Eukaryota, Metazoa, Chordata, Actinopteri, Osteoglossiformes, Mormyridae. The record is from RefSeq and is a predicted model, not a curated record.